This 853-nucleotide ribosomal RNA is filed under the name uncultured bacterium. Its description in RNAcentral is "bacterial SSU rRNA". It matches the Rfam family "Bacterial small subunit ribosomal RNA", at positions 21 to 875 of the family's 1533-position model. The record is from RNAcentral.
GGCUCAGAACGAACGCUGGCGGCGUGCUUAACACAUGCAAGUCGAGCGCGAAAGGGGCUUCGGCUCCGAGUAGAGCGGCAGACGGGUGAGUAACACGUGGGUAACCUACCCCUGGGUGGGGGAUAACCACUCGAAAGGGUGGCUAAUACCGCAUAAGACCACGUUUCCGAGGAGACGCGGUAAAAGGCGCAAGACGCCUGGGGAGGGGCCCGCGGCCGAUUAGCUAGUUGGUGAGGUAACGGCUCACCAAGGCAACGAUCGGUAGCUGGUCUGAGAGGAUGAUCAGCCACACUGGUACUUAGACACGGACCAGACUCCUACGGGAGGCAGCAGUGGGGAAUAUUGCGCAAUGGGCGAAAGCCUGACGCAGCAACGCCGCGUGGGUGACGAAGGCCUUCGGGUCGUAAAGCCCUGUCAGGUGGGAAGAAACCUGCCCUUGAGGCAGCUGACGGUACCACCGAAGGAAGCACCGGCUAACUCCGUGCCAGCAGCCGCGGUAAUACGGAGGGUGCAAGCGUUGUUCGGAAUCACUGGGCGUAAAGGGCGCGUAGGCGGCCGGUCGGGUCUGAUGUGAAAGCCCGGGGCUCAACCCCGGAAGUGCAUUGGAAACUGACAGGCUUGAGUCCGGAAGAGGAGGGCAGAAUUCCCGGUGUAGGGGUGAAAUCCGUAGAGAUCGGGAGGAAAACCAGUGGCGAAGGCGGCCCUCUGGUACGUGACUGACGCUGAGGCGCGAAAGCGUGGGGAGCAAACAGGAUUAGAGACCCUGGUAGUCCACGCUGUAAACGAUGGGUGCUAGGUGUAGGGGUUAACCAUAACUUCUGUGCCGAAGCUAACGCGAUAAGCAUCCCGCCUG